RNAcentral lists this ribosomal RNA (489 nucleotides) under uncultured bacterium. Its description in RNAcentral is "partial 16S ribosomal RNA". It matches the Rfam family "Bacterial small subunit ribosomal RNA", at positions 30 to 507 of the family's 1533-position model. The record is from RNAcentral.
UUGAACGCUGGCGGCAGGCCUAACACAUGCAAGUCGAACGGUAACAGGAAGAAGCUUGCUUCUUUGCUGACGAGUGGCGGACGGGUGAGUAAUGUCUGGGAAACUGCCUGAUGGAGGGGGAUAACUACUGGAAACGGUAGCUAAUACCGCAUAACGUCGCAAGACCAAAGAGGGGGACCUUCGGGCCUCUUGCCAUCGGAUGUGCCCAGAUGGGAUUAGCUAGUAGGUGGGGUAACGGCUCACCUAGGCGACGAUCCCUAGCUGGUCUGAGAGGAUGACCAGCCACACUGGAACUGAGACACGGUCCAGACUCCUACGGGAGGCAGCAGUGGGGAAUAUUGCACAAUGGGCGCAAGCCUGAUGCAGCCAUGCCGCGUGUAUGAAGAAGGCCUUCGGGUUGUAAAGUACUUUCAGCGGGGAGGAAGGGAGUAAAGUUAAUACCUUUGCUCAUUGACGUUACCCGCAGAAGAAGCACCGGCUAACACCGUG